UUUCCGUAGGUGAACCUGCGGAAGGAUCAUUCAUAAUAAAGUGUUUUAUGGCACUUUUUAAAAAUCCAUAUCCACCUUGUGUGCAAUGUUAGAUCUCGUCAAUCUUGGCGAGAUUUUUAUACAUCAACUCAUUCUUUAACUAAUUUGUCUGAAAAAUAUUAUGAAUACUUAAUUCAAAAUACAACUUUCAACAACGGAUCUCUUGGCUCUCGAAUCGAUGAAGAACGCAGC
This 231-nucleotide unclassified non-coding RNA is filed under the name plant metagenome. RNAcentral's name for it is "partial contains small subunit ribosomal RNA, internal transcribed spacer 1, and 5.8S ribosomal RNA". The stretch from base 183 to 231 matches the Rfam family "5.8S ribosomal RNA", at positions 1 to 49 of the family's 154-position model. The record is from RNAcentral.